Long non-coding RNA from Neofelis nebulosa (Clouded leopard), 3607 nucleotides. RefSeq lists it as uncharacterized. The record is from RefSeq and is a predicted model, not a curated record. The transcript has 3 exons. NCBI's taxonomy places the organism in Eukaryota, Metazoa, Chordata, Mammalia, Carnivora, Felidae.
CCUGUGACCCCAGCCUGCUGCAGCGGUUCACAUCUGGGAUCAGGUAGGGUGGGACCUACAGUAAGAAGAAUGCAGGGAGGUGAUCCCUGGGAUUCUUAGCACCUGCUGUAGCUGUUAGAAAUCGUUGCCAGGUUAUGUCACACGUUGGUGACCCACUGAUCGAUGUGUGUUUCUGCUUGGUCUGCUUGGUCUGAAUUGGAUAACGAUUAAGCCAAAGGCUGAGGGUUCGGAAGGGGAAGGGAAGUGUGGAUUAUGAUCCGGGACCAUAGACUCUCUCCGGUGGGAGUCUGGAUGGGUGGGAGCCAGAGCGGUGACUCAGCAAACCCUUGGCAGUCAGUGUCCGGAGCAGACUGUGGCUUUGACAUCAGGCAAACAGAGCUGAAUUCUACCCCGUUUCUGCGGUUUUCUAGCUGUGGACCUUGGGAGAGUCCCCUCUACCUCUGAGCCUCGUAUUCUCACCUGUGAAAAGAAUUGUAAAAUCCCCUUCUUUACGAGGAGGUCAAAAAGAUUACAUGAGAUAAACCAGGGAAAGGGUUUUGCAUGUAGGGCGUGCUCCAUAAAUGCGGGCUUUCCAUCCCCUCCCACCAGACGGAACAUCAGGGUUAAUUUUCAUCAGCUCUGGGGUUAGGUGAACCCUAGAUCUGAAGCUCACCGGUCUCGUUUCCUGGUUGUUCAACCUGGAGAAAGGGAUUCCCUCCUCCACCCCCCACCCCGGCCAGAGCCCCAGCUUCGUCUGUAGUAACAGGAAUGAGGACACAGAGACAACUCUACGGCAGGCCCGGGGCUGGGUGGCCACCAGGGAUUCGGAUCUGAAGGACGAUCUCCAACCUUGUGGAGGUCACAGAUGCAUAAACGGGCAAUUGCAGUCAUGUGGUCAGUGUUGUGCAGGUUGCCUUGUCAUUGCGUUGAUGGUUUGUCUCCAUCACUGGGCAGAAGCUUUUUAGUUUGACGGAGGCCCACUUGCUUAGUUUUGCUUUGGUUGCCUCUGCUUUUGGCAUCAGAUCCAAAAAUAGCAUCGCUGAGACGGAUAUGAAGGAGCUCGCCGCCUGUUUUUUCUUCUAGGAGAUUCAUGGUUUCAGGUCUUAUGUUCAAGUUUUUCAUCAUUUUUCUGCAUGUGGCCGUCCAGUUUUCCCAACAGGAAAACAGAAAGCACGGGACAAAGAAUGCAUUAUAAAAUAGAAAUUCUGGUACCUUUGCUCCCUCAAACUGAUGGCUCUUCUCGUGCAUUUCCUGGAAGGCAUCCUUCCUUCCCUUGCCAGCUUGCCGUUCACUACUGUGGGUUGCAUCAAAGGAGGGUGAGUGGAAGACAGUGGAUAUUUACCUUUAAAAGACAUCAUGACAUUUAUACAUGCUGGUGUCCCGGCAGUCAUUGAAAUGAAGAAUAGUUAUAUGUUAUUUAAUUUUUUUAAUGUUUAUUUAUUUUGGGGGGGGGGUGAGGGGCAGAGAGAGGGAGACACAGAAUCUGAAGCAGACUCCAGUCUCUGAGCUGUCAGCACAGAGCCGGACGCGGGGCUCGAACCCAUAAACUGUGAGAUCAUGAGUUGAGCCGAAGUCAGAUGCUCAACCGACUGAGCCACCCAGGCGCCCCAAAAGUUUAUUUAUUUUGGGGGGGAGGGGCAGAGAGAGGGAGAGAAAGAAUCCCAAGUAGGCUCUGCACUGUGAGUGGAGAGCCCAACUCGGGGCUGGAACUCAUGAACUGUGAGAUCAUGACCUGAGCCGAAAUCGAGUCGGACCCAGGUGCCCCAAUUAUUGCGUGGGAAAGAAGCAAGUGAAAAGAAGAAAGUUGGAAAAGAAGAAAGUUGAGACUCCAUUAGCGUGCAGGGCAUAGCACAGAUGGGAGGCAGAAUAAGGCAGAGGUCCUGGGGCAAGUUAGAGCAUGUUGGAGAACAAGGUAAGAAAUGAGAGAGAACUUGGAUUUGGCCAUGGUGGGGGGGAGAGGAGAAGAGACGUGUUCGAGAGAUCAGUGAGAGAGAAAGACUCUGUAGGACUCAGCGGCCGGUUAACCAUGGGAACCGAAGAGGCAGGGGAUCCCCUCCGCCUCCUUAUCCACGAGGGAUAUGUUCCAAGGCCUCCAGUGGAUGCCUGAACCCAGGGACAGAAACCGAGCCCCGUUCAUACUAUGUUUCUUCCCUCUCCGUGCAUACUGGUGUUCGUUUAAUUUGUAAAUUAGGCAGAGGAAGAGAUUAGCAACAACGCUAAUACAAGAGAGCAAUUUUAACAAGAGACUGUAAUAAAAGUUAUGGGAAUGCGGCCUCUCUCCUGGAAAACAUCUGAUUGAACUGUACUCACCCUUCUUGGGAUGAUGGGAGACGAUAAAAUGCCCUCGUGAGGGGGUGGAGUGAGGUCAGGGCUGUCGGCCUCGUGACCUCGCGACCUCGCUUUAGGCUACCGCCGACCUUCUGAUAAAACAUCAGAAGGAGGAUCACCUGCUUCUGGACCGCAGUUGAUCGUGGAUAACUGAAGCCUCGGAAGGCACAACUGUGGAUAAGAGGGGACUUCUGGCUGAGUGGUGCUGUUGCCCAAGAUGGGUAACUCGGGAGAAGCGGCAGUUUUGAGAAAGGGGGACAAAGAGGAGGGGCUGGGACUAUUCCGUUGGCUGGGUUUUGGGCGCACUGGUGUGCCUUGUGGGACACGGGAGAGGAAAUGUGGGAGACGGAUUUAUCGCUGGAGCUUAGGCAACUAGCUCUACACAGGCCUGUUUCUCGACUCGAGCCAUUAUUACCGGCACUCGGCCUUUGAAAAGUUGCCCAGGCAUUCAAUGACAUAUGCUCUACUGGCCUGGACGUCCCUUUCUUUUUUUCUUUAAUAUUUUUACUUAUGUUUGAGAGAGAAAGAGACAGAGUGCAAGCAGGGGAGGGCAGAGAGAGAGGGAGACACAGAAUCCGAAGCAGGCUCCAGGCUCCGAGCCGUCGGCACAGAGCCCGACGCGGGGCUCGAACCCACGGACAGCGAGAUCAUGACCUGAGCCGAAGAUGGAUGCCUAACCGACUGAGCCACCCAGACGCCCCAUGGACGUCCCUUUCUGACUCAUGGCCUAGUUUGAAAGGAGUUAAGUUUUAAGACACACGGCAGUAAUCCAUUGCCAUCACGUGUAAGCAGCAGCAGCUGACUCAUUUGCAUUCUAGAGAAACUUUCUCUUCUCUCCCUUUCAGCUGAGAAAAACGGCUGCCUCCUCUUACCACUUUCCCCCCCACCUCUAGAAUCAGAGGGGUGAUUUCAAUCCUUUGAAAAAUUGGAGUGUUCAGGGGCGCCUGGGUGGCUCAGUCGGAUGAGUGUCCGACUUCAGCUCAGGUCAUGAUCUCGCGGGUCGUGAGUUCAAGCCCCGAGUUAGGCUCUGUGCUGACAGCUCGGAGCCUGGAGCCUGCUUCGGGUUCUGUGUCUCCCUCUCUCUCUGCCCCUCCCCAGCUCGCGCUCUGUCUCUCUCUCUCUCGUAAAAUAAACAAACAUUAAAAAAUUAAAAAAAUAAGUAAACUGGAGUGUUUAGACAAUUUACAUUUAAUGUAAUUAUCAAUAAGGUGUAGUUUAAAUCUACUGUCUUAUAAUGCUACGCAAAACACGUCAGUCAGAGAAAGACAAAAAGCAGAGGAGUUCACUCAUAUGUGGAAUU